Molecule: RNA transcript, 1718 nt
Organism: Labeo rohita (rohu)
Lineage: Eukaryota; Metazoa; Chordata; Actinopteri; Cypriniformes; Cyprinidae
Gene name: polymeric immunoglobulin receptor-like
Exons: 4
Source: RefSeq, a predicted model, not a curated record
CCCUGAUCUGGAGUCUAUACACAGCUCCUAGGUGGCGCAAGCUGUUUAAGUGCUAGGUGAGGGUGAAAAGGGAAGUGCACAAGUUACUAUAAAUACAGUCAAACAGCUCAAGAUCCAGGAAGAAAAACGUAUUCAAUGGCCGCAUACGCAACAACAAAAAUAUUCUACAUUUCAAUUGAGUUUUGGCUCAUUUUAGGUGUUGAAUGCAUCUUCGGUAAGCCAAAUCAUGUAUUAACUAUUCAGCCUGGAGGAUCUGUCACCAUCCCAUGUCAUUAUGAGGAGAAAUACACACUGCAGAAGAAAUACUGGUAUUUAGAAACUGAUAAGUUUAGUAUAUACACAAACACAAUGGAGGAGAAUCUGUCAGUAAUUGAUCAUCCUGAUCAGAGUCUCUUUACUGUGACUAUGAGAAACCUGCAGAUCAAACAGACUGGACAUUAUUAUUGUGUUGUGGGUACUGAAGGACAAUCGGCUGUUGCAUAUAAGUUUUAUCUCAAGGUUCAGUCUGCUCCUGAUGUGUCUGUGGUGAGCAGCAGUGUAUGUGGACAUGAAGGUGGUGAUAUCACUGUUCAGUGUCUCUACAGUUCUGAAUAUAAGAAUAAACUCAAACAGUGGUGCAGAUAUAAAGAUCAGCGCUGUUACACAGUGGGGAGGACUGACACAUCCCAGAAUCCAUCAGUCCAGAUCAUUGAUGAUGGGAGAAGAUCCUUCACUGUGCUGAUGACUGGACUGAGACUGACUGAUUCUGGCUGGUACUGCUGUUCUGUAGGAGAGGCACUGAAUCCUGUUCAUCUCUCUGUAACUGGGGCAAAGCCAGACAAAGAAAAAGACACGUCAGUAUUCGAACAUUUCUCACUGACAUUUCAUUUUCCUAGAAUCUUCCUCUGCGUUUUUUCAUCAUGCUGUAGUUCCUCAAUUUAUUUAGCCUUUUACUCUAACAAUCAUUUCCUCAUUGCCUUCGUGAUCUUUCUUUUCUGUUUCCUUUUUUAUCUUUGCAGAAGUGAAACAGGAUGUCACGAGAAUAAUAAUAACCCAACUGAAGCCAUUGACAAACUGCAAAGGCACUACAUCUGUAUUGUUUAAAAAGUAAAACUUAAAGGGGUCAUCGAAUGCUAAGUUCACUUUUACAUGUUGUUUGAACAUUAAUGUGUGUUGUCAGUGUAUGUACAAAUCUACCCUAUAAUGAUAAAAAUCCAUGCAGUGGUUUUUAAUUAAUCUGUAAAAAUAAUAUCCCCUUUUUCAAAUCGAGCCGUUCUCAGAUGCCUGUCGGUGUGGCGUCACACCAUCAGAGGCCGCUCCCACAACAGUUGAUUGACAUGAGCGUCUUACCUUAGAUCAGCUGUAACAGUCCGCCCUCUUUGUUUCAAUGCCGGAGCAGGGAUGUAAGUUAGACAAGAAUAUCUCUGAUUGAGCGAUUGAGGUGUUGUGUUGCUGGAUGUAAUAAUGAACAUAGUGGUCGUCAUUUACUCCCGACAUCUGAGCUGCUGAAGAUGGAGUAGAUUACGUUUGUUUGUGAAGGGAAUGCGCCUCCUGAUCUCCAUAUAUCCGUCUAUGUUCGCUCAAAUCAUUCGUGAUCCAGCUUCACUUACAGAAGAAAGAGAAGAGAGGGGCGGGGCGAGUAGAGCUCAUUAACAUUUAAAGCAGCCUCGACCAGAAUGAGAUGAUUUUUGCAGAGCUGAUUUUGACAAGGUAAAAAGGGUGUUGUUUUACACAACCAU